Molecule: ribosomal RNA, 489 nt
Filed under: uncultured bacterium
Lineage: Bacteria
Description: bacterial SSU rRNA
Rfam family: Bacterial small subunit ribosomal RNA
Source: RNAcentral
GAUGAACGCUAGCUACAGGCUUAACACAUGCAAGUCGAGGGGCAGCAUCAUCAAAGCUUGCUUUGAUGGAUGGCGACCGGCGCACGGGUGAGUAACACGUAUCCAACCUGCCGACAACACUGGGAUAGCCUUUCGAAAGAAAGAUUAAUACCGGAUGGCAUAGUUUUCCCGCAUGGGAUGAUUAUUAAAGAAUUUCGGUUGUCGAUGGGGAUGCGUUCCAUUAGGCAGUUGGCGGGGUAACGGCCCACCAAACCUACGAUGGAUAGGGGUUCUGAGAGGAAGGUCCCCCACAUUGGAACUGAGACACGGUCCAAACUCCUACGGGAGGCAGCAGUGAGGAAUAUUGGUCAAUGGACGAGAGUCUGAACCAGCCAAGUAGCGUGCAGGAUGACGGCCCUAUGGGUUGUAAACUGCUUUUAUAAGGGAAUAAAGUGAGUCUCGUGAGACUUUUUGCAUGUACCUUAUGAAUAAGGACCGGCUAAUUCCGUG